Molecule: ribosomal RNA, 585 nt
Filed under: uncultured bacterium
Lineage: Bacteria
Description: bacterial SSU rRNA
Rfam family: Bacterial small subunit ribosomal RNA
Source: RNAcentral
CCUACGGGAGGCAGCAGUGGGGAAUUUUGGACAAUGGGCGAAAGCCUGAUCCAGCCAUACCGCGUGCGGGAAGAAGGCCUUCGGGUUGUAAACCGCUUUUGUCAGGGAAGAAAUGCUUCGGGCUAAUACCCUGGGGUGAUGACGGUACCUGAAGAAUAAGCACCGGCUAACUACGUGCCAGCAGCCGCGGUAAUACGUAGGGUGCAAGCGUUAAUCGGAAUUACUGGGCGUAAAGCGUGCGCAGGCGGUUCUAUAAGACAGAUGUGAAAUCCCCGGGCUCAACCUGGGAACUGCAUUUGUGACUGUAGAGCUAGAGUACGGUAGAGGGGGAUGGAAUUCCGCGUGUAGCAGUGAAAUGCGUAGAUAUGCGGAGGAACACCGAUGGCGAAGGCAAUCCCCUGGACCUGUACUGACGCUCAUGCACGAAAGCGUGGGGAGCAAACAGGAUUAGAUACCCUGGUAGUCCACGCCCUAAACGAUGUCAACUGGUUGUUGGGAGGGUUUCUUCUCAGUAACGAAGCUAACGCGUGAAGUUGACCGCCUGGGGAGUACGGCCGCAAGGUUGAAACUCAAAUGAAUUGACGG